RNAcentral lists this ribosomal RNA (253 nucleotides) under uncultured bacterium. Its description in RNAcentral is "partial 16S ribosomal RNA". It matches the Rfam family "Bacterial small subunit ribosomal RNA", at positions 524 to 776 of the family's 1533-position model. The record is from RNAcentral.
UACGUAGGGUGCAAGCGUUGUCCGGAAUCAUUGGGCGUAAAGAGCGUGUAGGCGGUUCGGUAAGUCCGCUGUGAAAGUCCAGGGCUCAACCCUGGAAAGCCGGUGGAUACUGUCGGGCUAGAGUCCGGAAGAGGCGAGUGGAAUUCCUGGUGUAGCGGUGAAAUGCGCAGAUAUCAGGAGGAACACCAAUUGCGAAGGCAGCUCGCUGGGACGGUACUGACGCUGAGACGCGAAAGCGUGGGGAGCAAACAGG